GAACAGCGGCGCAGUAUCCUAGUCGGAUCUGCCGUCUUGUAAGAAGGGCCUAAAAAUCCUUUUAAGGGCACAACUGUGAAGUCUCUGGUGCUUGCUUCUUACGCCCAGUUUGGGGUGGGUGCUGGAGGGAGGUACGGCUGCGCCGUGCCUGCGGAUUCAGGGCGCCCUCCAAUGGCAUGGAGGACCCGACCCUGCUUUCGUGGAGACCUGCUGUUGUGCACAGGCGUACUCCCUUGUGGUAAAGCGACCUGUGUACGAGGCAGAUUGAGAACCUGCAUUGCGGUGCUACCCAGCGCUUGGCGCUGCGAACGCUGUGUGCAGAGUAGCCUGCCUUGCGUGGAGCGGGUGAAUAGGAGAGCCAUGCAGUCAUUUCCCCGGCCAGGGAGGUGGCUGAUAUUUCCUUGAAACCCCCUCUGCAAAAGAGGCUAAGAGACGGCCUGACCGCUGUGGAAAUCACCUAGGCUGUCGAGAAGGAUGGCAGUGGGAUUGCAGUGCGGACUAAGUGGCAGUCGGGUAUCGCGUCUGGUAACAGCGCGGCGCGGCUUUUAAAGGGAAACCGCCUGAUCGGCAACGAGAGGUAAGCCGUGGGGAAAUCCAACCCGUACCUAAGCCGUAAGAUUUACCAUUGCCGUUGCCGCUG
RNAcentral lists this small RNA (640 nucleotides) under human gut metagenome. The record is from RNAcentral.